CCUACGGGAGGCAGCAGUGGGGAAUAUUGCACAAUGGGGGAAACCCUGAUGCAGCAACGCCGCGUGAAGGAUGACUGCCCUACGGGUUGUAAACUUCUUUUAUAAAGGAAUAAAGUGAGGCACGUGUGCCUUUUUGUAUGUACUUUAUGAAUAAGGAUCGGCUAACUCCGUGCCAGCAGCCGCGGUAAUACGGAGGAUCCGAGCGUUAUCCGGAUUUCUUGGGUUUAAAGGGAGCGUAGAUGGGUUGUUAAGUCAGUUGUGAAAGUUUGCGGCUCAACCGUAAAAUUGCAAUUGAUACUGGCAGUCUUGAGUACAGUUGAGGUAGGCGGAAUUCGUGGUGUAGCGGUGAAAUGCUUAGAUAUCACGAAGAACUCCGAUUGCGAAGGCAGCUUACUAAACUGCCACUGACAUUGAUGCUCGAAAGUGUGGGUAUCAAACAGGAUUAGAUACCCUAGUAGUC
Molecule: ribosomal RNA, 460 nt
Filed under: uncultured bacterium
Lineage: Bacteria
Description: partial 16S ribosomal RNA
Rfam family: Bacterial small subunit ribosomal RNA
Source: RNAcentral